UAGGGAAUUUUCCACAAUGGGCGAAAGCCUGAUGGAGCAACGCCGCGUGCAGGAUGAAGGCCCUCGGGUCGUAAACUGCUUUUAUGUGAGAAGAAUAUGACGGUAACACAUGAAUAAGGGUCGGCUAACUACGUGCCAGCAGCCGCGGUCAUACGUAGGACCCAAGCGUUAUCCGGAAUUACUGGGCGUAAAGAGUUGAGUAGGUGGCAUUAUAAGUGGAGCGUGAAAGCGUGCGGCUCAACCGCAUUACUGCGUUCCAAACUGUGAAGCUUGAGUGCGAGAGAGGUAGAUGGAAUUCCCAGUGUAGGAGUGAAAUCCGUAGAUAUUGGGAGGAACACCGAUGGCGUAGGCAGUCUACUGGCUCGUUACUGACACUAAGGCACGAAAGCGUGGGGAUCAAACA
This 403-nucleotide ribosomal RNA is filed under the name uncultured prokaryote. RNAcentral describes it as "bacterial SSU rRNA". It matches the Rfam family "Bacterial small subunit ribosomal RNA", at positions 355 to 774 of the family's 1533-position model. The record is from RNAcentral.